This 423-nucleotide ribosomal RNA is filed under the name uncultured bacterium. RNAcentral's name for it is "bacterial SSU rRNA". It matches the Rfam family "Bacterial small subunit ribosomal RNA", at positions 358 to 773 of the family's 1533-position model. The record is from RNAcentral.
GGAAUAUUGGACAAUGGGCGCAAGCCUGAUCCAGCCAUACCGCGUGUGUGAAGAAGGCCUUCGGGUUGUAAAGCACUUUCAGCGGGGAGGAAGGGGUGUGUGUUAUUAGCACAUAUUCUUGACGUUACCCGCAGAAGAAGCACCGGCUAACUCCGUUACAGCAGCCGCGGUAAUACGGAGGGUGCAAGCGUUAAUCGGAAUUACUGGGCGUAAAGCGCACGUAGGCGGUAUGUUAAGUUGGAUGUGAAAGCCCCGGGCUCAACCUGGGAAUUGCAUUCAAAACUGGCAUGCUAGAGUAUGGGAGAGGGGGGUAGAAUUCCAAGUGUAGCGGUGAAAUGCGUAGAGAUUUGGAGGAAUACCAGUGGCGAAGGCGGCCCCCUGGCACAAUACUGACGCUCAGGUGCGAAAGCGUGGGGAGCAAAC